RNAcentral lists this unclassified non-coding RNA (255 nucleotides) under Hevea brasiliensis (rubber tree). Lineage: Eukaryota; Viridiplantae; Streptophyta; Magnoliopsida; Malpighiales; Euphorbiaceae. The record is from RNAcentral.
AAGAACAGUAUUGUGUAAUUCAAAUUACAACAUAUUUUACACCAUGAUAUUUUUAUUGGUUAGGGAUCAGAUACUGAUCUUUGGGCGAUAAUCAGGACCUGCAAAUGGUUUCAUGAACUCAUCGAUGCAAGCCAUUCUAAUCCUCUCAGGUGUUGCUGGAUUAUCAAGCGGAAACCAGUCGUGAUAGCCUUCCUCAGCUCGAGCAGCCAUAAUAGCAUCUUUGAUCGCGAACAAUACUGCAGAAGCCAGAAAAAA